UGGAGGAUGAUGAAAAAAAUCAGACGGAUUCCCAAUGAUUUAAACCGUGAUAUCAUAACCAGCUACUUCUGACUCGC
This is a small nucleolar RNA of Vitis vinifera (wine grape), 77 nucleotides long. It matches the Rfam family "Small nucleolar RNA R12". From Rfam's summary of the family: snoR12 is a C/D box small nucleolar RNA, which acts as a methylation guide for 25S ribosomal RNA in plants. snoR12 has been alternatively named snoZ44 in Arabidopsis and snoZ131 in rice. The record is from Rfam. Lineage: Eukaryota; Viridiplantae; Streptophyta; Magnoliopsida; Vitales; Vitaceae.